This 447-nucleotide ribosomal RNA is filed under the name uncultured Desulfobulbus sp. RNAcentral's name for it is "bacterial SSU rRNA". It matches the Rfam family "Bacterial small subunit ribosomal RNA", at positions 934 to 1382 of the family's 1533-position model. The record is from RNAcentral. Lineage: Bacteria; Pseudomonadati; Thermodesulfobacteriota; Desulfobulbia; Desulfobulbales; Desulfobulbaceae.
GGAGCAUGUGGUUUAAUUCGAAGCAACGCGAAGAACCUUACAGGCCUUGACAUGCAGAGAACUUUCCAGAGAUGGAUUGGUGCCUUCGGGAACUCUGACACAGGUGCUGCAUGGCUGUCGUCAGCUCGUGUCGUGAGAUGUUGGGUUAAGUCCCGUAACGAGCGCAACCCUUGUCCUUAGUUGCCAGCAGUUCGGCUGGGCACUCUAAAGGGACUGCCGGUGUUAAACCGGAGGAAGGUGGGGAUGACGUCAAGUCCUCAUGGCCUUUAUGACCAGGGCUACACACGUACUACAAUGGCCGAUACAAAGGGCAGCGACACUGCGAGGUGAAGCCAAUCCCGUAAAAUCGGUCUCAGUCCGGAUUGGAGUCUGCAACUCGACUCCAUGAAGUUGGAAUCGCUAGUAAUCGUGGAUCAGCAUGCCACGGUGAAUACGUUCCCGGGCCUU